CACACUGUAAAUGAUGGAUACUAGGUGUGGGGGGACUGACCCCUUCCGUGCCGGAGUUAACACAAUAAGUAUCCCACCUGGGGAGUACGGUCGCAAGAUUAAAACUCAAAGGAAUUGACGGGGACCCGCACAAGCAGUGGAGUAUGUGGAUUAAUUCGAUGCAACGCGAAGAACCUUACCAAGGCUUGACAUCCUACUGACGAAGUAGAGAUACAUUAGGUGCCCUUAUGGGAAAGUAGAGACAGGUGG
Molecule: ribosomal RNA, 249 nt
Filed under: uncultured Oscillospiraceae bacterium
Lineage: Bacteria; Bacillati; Bacillota; Clostridia; Eubacteriales; Oscillospiraceae
Description: partial 16S ribosomal RNA
Rfam family: Bacterial small subunit ribosomal RNA
Source: RNAcentral